UACGGAGGGUGCAAGCGUUAUCCGGAUUCACUGGGUUUAAAGGGUGCGUAGGUGGGCAGGUAAGUCAGUGGUGAAAUCUCCGAGCUUAACUCGGAAACUGCCGUUGAUACUAUUUGUCUUGAAUAUUGUGGAGGUAAGCGGAAUAUGUCAUGUAGCGGUGAAAUGCUUAGAUAUGACAUAGAACACCAAUUGCGAAGGCAGCUUACUACACAACGAUUGACGCUGAGGCACGAAAGCGUGGGGAGCGAACAGG
Molecule: ribosomal RNA, 253 nt
Filed under: uncultured bacterium
Lineage: Bacteria
Description: partial 16S ribosomal RNA
Rfam family: Bacterial small subunit ribosomal RNA
Source: RNAcentral